GAUGAACGCUGGCGGCGUGCCUAAUACAUGCAAGUCGAGCGAACAGACGAGGAGCUUGCUCCUCUGACGUUAGCGGCGGACGGGUGAGUAACACGUGGAUAACCUACCUAUAAGACUGGGAUAACUUCGGGAAACCGGAGCUAAUACCGGAUAAUAUAUUGAACCGCAUGGUUCAAUAGUGAAAGACGGUUUUGCUGUCACUUAUAGAUGGAUCCGCGCCGCAUUAGCUAGUUGGUAAGGUAACGGCUUACCAAGGCGACGAUGCGUAGCCGACCUGAGAGGGUGAUCGGCCACACUGGAACUGAGACACGGUCCAGACUCCUACGGGAGGCAGCAGUAGGGAAUCUUCCGCAAUGGGCGAAAGCCUGACGGAGCAACGCUGCGUGAGUGAUGAAGGUCUUCGGAUCGUAAAACUCUGUUAUUAGGGAAGAACAAAUGUGUAAGUAACUAUGCACGUCUUGACGGUACCUAAUCAGAAAGCCACGGCUAACUACGU
RNAcentral lists this ribosomal RNA (496 nucleotides) under uncultured bacterium. Its description in RNAcentral is "partial 16S ribosomal RNA". It matches the Rfam family "Bacterial small subunit ribosomal RNA", at positions 28 to 506 of the family's 1533-position model. The record is from RNAcentral.